Non-coding RNA from Xyrichtys novacula (pearly razorfish), 10593 nucleotides. NCBI's taxonomy places the organism in Eukaryota, Metazoa, Chordata, Actinopteri, Labriformes, Labridae. The record is from the annotation of a GenBank genome assembly.
UUGAAGUUUGUGGCAACUUAUGAACUUGAGUUUGUUUGGCUUGAUUUUUUGGCAAUUGUUGAACUUGAGUUUGUGGUUUUAGUGAACUUUAGUUGGUGGCAAUUGUUGAACUUGAGUUUGUGGCGUUUGUUGAACUUGAGUUUGUGGCGUUUGUUGAACUUGAGUUUGUGAAGUGUUUGAACUUGAGUUUGUGUUUUUUUUAAGGUUGUGGCAAUUGUUAAACUUGAGAAUCGAGUGUUGGUUGAACUUGAGUUUGAGGUGUUCAUUAAACUUGAGUUUGUGGCAUAUUUGAACUUGAGUUUAUUAUGUUUUUUGAACUUGAGGUUCUGGUGUUUUUGAACUUAAGUUUGUGGAAAUUGUUGAACUUGAGGAUCGGGUAUUGCUUGAACUUGACUUGUUGUGUUUGUUGAACUUGAGUUUGUGUCGUUUUUGAACUUCAGUUUGUGUGGUGUUUUUGAACUUGAGUUUGUGAAGUGUUUGAACUUGAGUUUAAGGCGUGUUUCAACUUGAGUUUGUGGUGUUUUUUAAACUUGAGGCUGUGGAAAUUGUUAAACCUGAGAAUCGGGUGUUGGUUGAACUUGAGUUUGUCUGUUUUUUGAACUUGAGUUUGUGUCCUGUAUGAACUUGAGUUUGUGGUGAUUUUUGAAUUGAGUUUGUGGUGUUUUUGAACUUGAGUUUGUGUUGUUUUUGAACUUAAGGUUGUGGAAAUUGUUAAACUUGAGAAUUGGGUAUUGGCUAAACUUGAGUUUGUGUGUUUGUGAAGUGUUUGAACUAGAUUUUCUGGUUAUUUUUGAACUUGAGUCUGUGUGUUUUUUGAACUUGAGUUUGUGGUGUGUCUGAACUUGAGUUUUUGUUUUUUUUUAACUUGAGUUUUGAACUUGAGUCUUUGGUUUUUAGUGUCCUUUAUUUAGUGGCAAUUGUUAAACUUGAGUUUGUGGCAUGUUUGAAAAUGAGUUUGUGGCGUGUUUGAACUUGAGUUUGUGUUGUUUUUGAACUAGAGGUUGUGGCAAUUGUUAAACUUGAGAUCUGGGUUUUGGUUGAACUUGAGUUUGUGGUGUUUUUGAACUUGAGUUUGUGUCAUGUUUGAAUUUCAGUUUGUGUGUUUUUUAUCUUGAGUUUGUGGCAAUUUAUGAACUUGAGUUUGUUGAACUUGAGUUUGUGGUUUUUAGUGAACUCUAGUUGGUGGCAUCUUUGAACUUGAGUUUGUGGCAUUUGUUGAACUUGAGUUUGUGAUGUGUUUGAACUUGAGUUUGUGGCAUUUGUUGAACUUGAGUUUGUGGUGUUUUUGAACUUGAGUUUGUGUCGUAUUUGAACUUGAGUUUGUGGCGUGUUUGAACUUGAGUAUCUGUUGUCUUUGAACUUGAGGUUGUGGCAAUUGUUAAACUUGAGGUUUGGGUGUUGGUUGAUCUUGAGUUUGUGUCUUGUUUGAACUUUUGUUUUUGGAUUUUUUUGAACUAGAAUUUGUGUGGUUUUUUAACAAAAGUUUGUGGCAACUUAUGAACUUGAGUAUGUUGAAAUUAAGUUUGUGGCAAAUGUUGCAUUUGAGUUUGUGGUUUUUUUAAACUUGAGUUUGUGUCGUGUUUACACUCUAGGUUGUGGUGUUUUUGAACUUGAGUUUGUGUGUUUUUGAACUUGAGGUUGUGGUAAUUGUUAAAGGUGAGAAUUGGGUAUUGGUUAAACUUGAGUUUGUGUGUUUGUGAAGUGUUUGAACUAGAUUUUCUGGUUAUUUUUGAACUUGAGUCUGUGUGUUUUUUGAACUUGAGUUUGUGGUGUGUCUGAACUUGAGUUUUUGUUUUUUUUUAACUUGAGUUUUGAACUUGAGUCUUUGGUUUUUAGUGUCCUUUAUUUAGUGGCAAUUGUUAAACUUGAGUUUGUGGCGUGUUUGAACUUGAUUUUGUGGUUUUUUUGCACCUGAGUUUGUGUCGUGUUUGAACUUAAUAUUGUGCUGUUUUGUGAUCUUGAAUUUGUAUGGUUUUUUUUUAACUUGAGUUUUUGGUGUCUUUGAAUAUGAGUUUCUGUUGUUUUUGAACAUGAAGUUGUGGCAAUUGUUAAACUUGAGAUUUGGGUGUUGGUUGAAAUAAAGUUUCGGUGUUUAAGUUUGUGGUGUUUUUGAACUUGAGUUUGUUGCAAUUUUUGAACUUGAGUUUGUUGAACGUGAGUUUAUGGCAAUUGUUUAAUGUGAGUAUAGGUCAUUUGUUGAAUUUGAAAUUUUGGCAUUUUUUGAACUUCAGCUUGUGAUGUUUGUUGAACUUGAGUUUGUGGCAAUUGUUAACCUUGAGUCUGUAUUUUUCUCUGAACUUUAGUUGGUGGCAAUUGUUGAACUUGAAUUUGUGGCGUUUGUUGUACUUGAGUUUGUGGCGUGUUUUUGAACUUGAGUUUGUCUGUAUGUUGAAAUUGAGUUUUUGGCGUGUUUGAACUUGAUUUUGUUUUGUUUCUGAACUUGAGGUUUUUGAAUUUGUUAAACAUGAGAAUUGGGUAUUGAUUGAACUUGAGUUCGUGUGUUUGUUGAACUUUAGUUUGUGUUGUUUAGAACUUGAGUUUGUGGUGUUUUUGAACUUGAGGAUGUGGAAAUUGUUAAACCUGAGAAUUGGGUAAUGGUUAAACUUGAGUUUGUGUGUUUGUUGAACCUUAGUUUGUGUCGUGUUUGAACUUGAGAUUGUGGUGUUUUUGAACUUGAAUUUUUGUGUUCAUUUAACUUGAGUUUGUGGAGUUUUUGAAUUUGAGUUUCUGUUGUCUUUGAACUUGAAGUUGUUGCAAUUGUUAAACUUGAGAUUUGGGUGUUGGUUGAACUUCAGAUUCGGUGUUGUGGUGUUUUUGAACUUGAAUUUGUGUGUUUUUUUAACUUGAGUUUGUUGCAAUUUUUGAACUUGAGUUUGUUGAACUUGAGUUUUUGGCAAUUGUUAAAUGUGAGUUUUGGUCAUUUGUUGAAUUUGAAAUUUUGGCAUUUUUUGAAUUUAAGAUUGUGGUGUUUGUUGAACUUAAGUUUGUGGCAAUUGUUGAACUUGAGUCUGUAUUUUUCCCUGAACUUUAGUUGGUGGCAAUUGUUGAACUUGAGUUUGUGGCGUUUGUUGUACUUGAGUUUGUGGCGUGUUUGAACUUGAGUUUCUGUUGGUUUUUUGAACUUGAGGUUGUUGAAAUUGUUAAACUAGAGACUUGGGAUUUGGUUGAACUUGAGUUUGUGUCGUGUUUGAACUUGAGUUACUGUUGUUUUUUAACUUGAGGUUGUGGCAAAUGUUACACUUAAGAUUUGGGUGCUGGUUGAAAUUGAGUUUGUUUGUUUGUCUAACUUGAGUUUGUGGCGUGUUUUAACUUGAAUUUUUGUUGUUUUUUAACUUGAGUUUUUGGCAAUUGUUAAUCUUUAGAUUUGGGUGUUGGUUGAACUUAAAACUUUGACAUUUGUUGAACUUUGUGGUGUUUUUGAACUUGAGUUUGUGUUUCUUGUUUGAACUUGAGUCUUUGGUGUUUUUGAACCUUAGUUUGUGUGUUUAUUUAAACUUAAAUUUGUGGCAAUUGUUAAACUUUGUGUGUUGUUUGAACUUGAGUUUGUGGUGUUUUUGAACUUGAGUUUGUGGCGUGUUUUAACUUGAGUUUCUGUUGUUUUUGAACUUAAGUUUUUGUGAUUUUUGAACUUGAUUUGUGGUGUUUUUGAACUUGAGUUUGUGGCGUUUGUUGAACUUGAGUUUGUGGCGUGUUUUAACUUGAAUUUUUGGUGUUUUUUAAUUUGAGGUUUUGGCAAUUGUUAAGCUUUAGAUUUGGGUGUUGGUUGAACUUAAAACUUUGACAUUUGUUGAAAUUUGUGGUGUUCAUUUAACUUGACUUUGUGUCUUGUUUGAACUUGACUUUGUGGUGUUUUUGAACUUGAUUUUGUGUGUUUUUUGAACUUGAGUUUUUGGUGUUUUUGAACGUGAGUUUGUGUGUUUUUUAAACUUGAGAUUUGUGUGUUGUUUGAACUUGAGUUUGUGGUGUUUUUGAACUUGAGUUUGUGUGUUUUUCGGACUUAAGUUUGUGGUGUUUUUGAACUUGAGUUUGUGUGUUUUUUGAACUUAAGUUUGUGGCAAUUGUUUAAUGUGAGUAUAGGUCAUUUGUUGAAUUUGAAAUUUUGGCAUUUUUUGAACUUAAGCUUGUGGUGUUUGUUGAACUUGAGUUUGUGGCAAUUGUUAACCUUGAAUCUGUAUUUUUCUCUGAACUUUAGGUGCUGGCAAUAUUUGAACUUGAAUUUGUGGCGUUUGUUGUACUUGAGUUUGUGUAUCGUGUUUGAACUUGAGUUUGUUGUGUUUUUGAUCUUGAGCUUGUGUGUUUUUUGAACUGAAGUUUGUGGCAAUUGUUAAACUUGUGACUUUGGUGUUGGUUGAACUUGAGAUUGUGGUGUUUUUGAACUUGAGUUUGUGAAGUGUUCGAACUAGAUUUUCUGGUUAUACUUGAACUUGAGUCUGUGUGUUUUUUGAACUUGAGUUUGUGGUGUGUCUGAACUUUUUUGUUUUUGUUUUUUUUUAACUUGAGGUUGUGGAAAUUGUUAAACUUACGAAUUGGGCAUUGGUUGAACUUGAGUUUGUGUGUUUGAACUUGAGUUUUUGUCGUUUAGAACUUGAGUUUGUGGUGUUUUUGAAAUUGAGUUUGUGUGUUUGUUGAACUUGAGUUUUUGCAUGUUUGAACGUGAGUUUGUGGUGUUUUCGAACUUGAGGUUUUGGCAAAUGUUAAACUUGAUAUUUGGGUGUUGUUUGAGUUUGUGUCGUGUUUGAACUUGAAUUUGUGUCGUGUUUGAACUUGAGCUUGUGGAAAUUGUUAACCUUGAGUCUGUAUUUUUCUCUGAACUUUAGGUUUUGGCAAUUGUUAAACUUGAGAUAUGGGUGUUGGUUGAAAUUGAGAUUGUGGCUUUUUUUGAAUUUGAGUUUGUGGUAUGUUUGAACUUGAGUUUCUGUGGUUUUUGAACUUGAGGUUGUGGAAAUUGUUAAACUUGAGAUUUCGGUGUUGAUUGAACUUGAGUUUGUUGCGUGUUUGAACUUGAGUUCGUGGUGUUUUCGAACUUGAGUUUUUGUGUUUGUUGAACUUGAGUUUGUGGCGUGUUUGAACUUGAGUUUGUGGAGUGCUUUUGAACUUGAGUUUGUCUGUAUGUUGAAAUUGAGUUUUUGGCGUGUUUGAACUUGAUUUUGUUUUGUUUCUGAACUUGAGGUUUUUGAAUUUUUUAAACAUGAGAAUUGGGUAUUGAUUGAACUUGAGUUCGUGUGUUUGUUGAACUUAAGUUUGUGUCGUUUAGAACUUUAGUUUGUGGUUUUUUUGAACUUGAGGAUGUGGAAAUUGUUAAACCUGAGAAUUGGGUAAUGGUUAAACUUGAGUUUGUGUGUUUGUUGAACCUUACUUUGUGUCGUGUUUGAACUUGAGAUUGUGGUAUUUUUGAACUUAAAUUUUUGUGGUUUUUUUAACUUGAGUUGUGGAGUUUUUGAAUUUGAGUUUCUGUUGUCUUUGAACUUGAAGUUGUUGCAAUUGUUAAACUUGAGAUUUGGGUGUUGGUUGAACUUCAGAUUCGGUGUUGUGGUGUUUUUGAAUUUGAAUUUGUGUGUUUUUUGAACUUGAGUUUGUUGCAAUUUUUGAACUUGAGUUUGUUGAACUUGAGUUUUUGGCAAGUGUUAAAUGUGAGUUAAGGUCAUUUGUUGAAUUUGAAAUUUUGGCAUUUUUUUGAACUUGAGUCUGUAUUUUUCCCUGAACUUAAGUUGGUGGCAAUUGUUGAACUUGAGUUUGUUUGCUUGUCUAACUGGAGUUUGUGGCGUGUUUUAACUUGAAUUUUUGUUGUUUUUUAACUUGAGUUUUUGGCAAUUGUUAAUCUUUAGAUUUGACUGUUGGUUGAACAUGAGUUUGUGUCCUGUUUGAACAUGAGUUUGUGUUGUUUGUUUAACUUGACUUUCUGUCGUGUUUGAACUUGACUGUGUGGUGUUCAUUUAACUUGAGUUUGUGUCUUGUUUGAACUUUACUUUUUGGUGUUUUUGAACUUGAGUUUGUGUUUCUUGUUUGAACUUGAGUCUUUGGUGUUUUUGAACUUUAGUUUGUGUCGUUUUUGAACUUGAGUUUGUGUCGUUUUUGAACUUGAAUUUGUGUGUUUGGUGAACUUGAGUUUGCUUUUUUUUUAAAUUGAGUUUCUGUUGUUUUUGAACUUAAGGUUGUGGAAAUUGUUAAACUUGAGAAUUAGGAGUUGGAGUUGAAUUUGAGUUUGUGUGUUUGUUGAAUUUGAGUUUGUGUCGUGUUUCAACUUGAGUUUGUGGUGUUUUUUAACUUAAGUUUGUGUGUUUGUUGAACUUGAGUUUGUGUUGUGUUUGAACUUGAGUUUGUGGCAUUGUUGAACUUGAGUUUGUGUGUUUGUUGAACUUGAGUUUGUGUCAUGUUUGAACUUGAGUUUGUGUUUGUUGAACUUGAGUUUGUGUGUUUGUUGAACUUGAGUUUGUGUCAUGUUUGAACUUGAGUUUGUGUGUUUGUUUAACUUGAGUUUGUGUUGUGUUUGAACUUGAGUUUGUGGUGUUUUUUAACUGGAGUUUGUUUCGUGUUUGAAUUUGAGUUUUUGGCAUUUGUUAAACUUCAGUUUGUGUCGUGUUUGAACUUUAGUUUGUGGUGUUUUUGAACUUGAGGGUGUGGAAUUGUUUGAACUUGAGUUUGUGGUGUUUUCGAACUUGAGGGUGUGGAAUUGUUUGAACUUGAGGUUGUGGCAAUUGUCAAACUUGAGUUUGUGUGUUUGUUGAACUUGAGUUUGUGUUGUGUUUGAACUUGAGUUUGUGGUGUUUUUUAACUUGAGGGUGUGGAAUUGUUUGAACUUGAGGUUGUAGCAAUUGUCAAACUUGAGUUUGUGUGUUUGUUGAACUUGAGUUUUAUUUUGUGUUUGAACUUGACUUUGUGUGUUUGUUGAACUUGAGUUUGUGUUGUGUUUGAACUUGAGUUUGUGGUGUUUUUUAACUUGAGUUUGUUUUUCGUGUUUGAAUUUGAGUUUUUGGCAUUUGUUGAACUUGAGUUUGUGUUGUGUUUGAACUUGAGUUUGUGGUGUUUUUGAACUUGAGGGUGUGGAAUUGUUUGAACUUGAGGUUGUGGCAAUUGUCAAACUUGAGUUUGUGUGUUUGUUGAACUUGAGUUUGUGUUGUGUUUGAACUUGAGUUUGUGGUGUUUUUUAACUUGAGUUUGUUUCGUGUUUGAAUUUGAGUUUUUGGCAUUUGUUGAACUUGAGUUUGUGUUGUGUUUGAACUUGAGUUUGUGUGUUUGUUGAACUUGAGGUUGUGGCAAUUGUUAAACUUGAGAUUUUGGUGUUGGAUGAACUUGAGAUUGUGUCGUGUUUGAACUUGAGUAUGUGUUGUUUUUGAAUUUGAGUUUGUGGAAUUUGUUGAACAUGAGAUUGUGGCAAUUGUUAAACUUGAGUUAGUGUGUUUGUUGAACUUGAGUUUGUGUCGUGUUUGAACUUAAGUUAGUGUGUUUGUUGAACUUGAGUUUGUGUCAUGUUUGAACUUGAUUUUGUGUGUUUGUUGAACUUGAGUUUGUGUUGUGUUUGAACUUAAGUUUGUGGUGUUUUUGAACUUGAGUUUGUUUCGUGUUUGAAUUUGAGUUUUUGGCAUUUGUUGAACUUGAGUUUGUUUCGUGUUUGAACUUGAGUAUGUGGUGUUUUUGAACUUGAGGGUGUGGAAUGGUUUGAACUUGAGGUUGUGGCAUUUGUUAAACUUGAGUUUGUGUGUUUGUUGAACUUGAGUUUGUGUUGUGUUUGAAUUUUAGUUUUGGGCAUUUGUUGAACUUGAGUUUGUGUUGUGUUUGAAUUUGAGUUUUGGGCAUUUGUUGAACUUGAGUUUGUGUUGUGUUUGAACUUGAGUCUGUUGUUUUUGAACUUGAGGUUGUGGAAAUUGUUAAACUUGAGAAUCAGUUGUCUGCCGAACUUGAGUUUGUGUGUUUGUUGAACUUGAGGUUGUGGCAAUUGUUAAACUUGAGAUUUUGGUGUUGGAUGAACUUGAGAUUGUGUUGUGUUUGAACUUGAGUCUGUGUUGUUUUUGAAUUUGAGUUUGUGGAAUUUGUUGAACAUGAGGUUGUGGCAAUUGUUAAACUUGAGUUAGUGUGUUUGUUGAACUUGAGUUUGUGUCGUGUUUGAACUUAAGUUAGUGUGUUUGUAGAACUUGAGUUUGUGUCAUGUUUGAACUUGAGUUUGUGUGUUUGUUGAACUUGAGUUUGUGUUGUGUUUAAACUUGAGUUAGUGAUAAUUUUUAACUUGAGUUUGUUUCAUGUUUGAAUUUGAGUUUUUGGCAUUUGUUAAACUUCAGUUUGUGUCGUGUUUGAACUUGAGUUUGUGGUGUUUUUGAACUUGAGGGUGUGGAAUUGUUUGGACUUGAGGUUGUGGCAAUUGUUAAACUUGAUUUUGUGUGUCUGUUGAACUUGGGUUUUCGUUGUGUUUUAACUUGAGUUUGUGGUGGUUUUUGAACUUGAGUCUUUUGUUUGUAGAACUUGAGGUUGUGGAAAUUGUUAAACUUCAGAAUCAGUUGUCUGUUGAACUUGAGUUAGUGUGUUUGUUGAACUUGAGUUUGUGAUGUGAUCAAACUUGAGUUUUGGGUGUUUGUUUAACUUGAGUUUGUGUUGUGUUUGAACUUGAGUUUGUGUUUUUUUUAACUUCAGACUGUGUUGUUUUUGAACUUCAGGUUGUGAAAAUUUUUAAACUUGGAAUUGGGUAUUGGUUGAACUUGAGUUUUUGUUGUUUUUGAACUUGAGUUUGUGUCGUGUUUAAACUUGAGUUUGUGGUGUGUUUUUUAACUUGAGUUUGUGUGUUUGUUGUACUUGAGGUUUUGACAAUUGUUAAACUUGAGAUUUGGGUUAUGGUUGAACUUGAGUUUGUGUUGUUUUUGAACUUGCGUUCCUGUUAUUUGUUUAACUUGAAUUUGUGUGUUUUUUGAACUUGAGGUUGUGAAAAUUUUUUAACGUGAGAAUCAGGUGUUGGUUGAACUUGAGUUUGUGGUUUUUGUUGAACUUGAGGUUGUGUCGUGUUUGAACUUCAGUUUGUGUUUUUUUUUAACUUGAGUCUGUGUUGUUUUUGAACUUGAAGUUGUGAAAAUUGUUAAACUUGAGAAUUGGGUAUUGGUUGAACUUGAGUUCCUGAUUUUUUUUAACUUGAGUUUGUGUCGUGUUUAAACUUGAGUUUGUGUCAUGUUUGAACUUGAGUUUGUGUGUUUGUUGAACUUGAGUUUGUGUUGUGUUUAAACUUGAGUUAGUGAUAAUUUUUAACUUGAGUUUGUUUCAUGUUUGAAUUUGAGUUUUUGGCAUUUGUUAAACUUCAGUUUGUGUCGUGUUUGAACUUGAGUUUGUGGUGUUUUUGAACUUGAGGGUGUGGAAUUGUUUGGACUUGAGGUUGUGGCAAUUGUCAAACUUGAUUUUGUGUGUCUUGAACUUGGGUUUUCGUUGUGUUUUAACUUGAGUUUGUGGUGGUUUUUGAACUUGAGUCUUUUGUUUGUAGAACUUGAGGUUGUGGAAAUUGUUAAACUUUAGAAUCAGUUGUCUGUUGAACUUGAGUUAGUGUGUUUGUUGAACUUGAGUUUGUGGUGUUGUUGAACUUGGGUUUGUGGUGUUUUUGAACUUUAGGUUGUGGAAUUUGUUAAUCAUGAGAAUUGGGUAUUGGUUGAACUUGGGUUUUUGUUGUUUUUGAACUUGAGUUUGUGUCGUGUUUAAACUUGAGUUUGUGGUGUGUUUUUUAACUUGAGUUUGUGUGUUUGUUGUACUUGAGGUUUUGACAAUUGUUAAACUUGAGAUUUGGGUUAUGGUUGAACUUGAGUUUGUGUUGUUUUUGAACUUGCGUUCCUGUUAUUUGUUUAACUUGAAUUUGUGUGUUUUUUGAACUUGAGGUUGUGAAAAUUUUUAAACGUGAGAAUCAGGUGUUGGUUGAAAUUGAGUUUGUGGCGUUUGUUGAAUUUGAGUUUGUGUCGUGUUUAAACUUGAGUUUGUGGUGUUUUUGAACUUGAGUUUGUGUGCUUGUUGAACUUGAGGUUGUGGCAAUUGUUCAACUUGAGCAUCAGGUAUUGUUUGAACUUGAGUUUGUGGGUUUUGUUGAACUUGAGUUUGUGUCGUGUUUGAACUUGAGUUUGUGGUUUUUUCUAACUUGAGUGUGUGUUUUGUUUUAACUUGACAUUGUGGAAAUUGUUAAAUUUGAGAAUUGGGUAUUGGUUGAACUUGAGUUUUUGGUGUUUUUUAAAUUGAGUUUGUUUCGUGUUUGAACUUGAGUUUGUGCAAUUGUUGAACUUGAGUUUGUGGUGUGUUUGAACUUGAGUUUGUGGCGUGUUUGAACUUGAGGUUGUGGCAACCAACUUAAGAUUUGGGUGUUGGUUGAACUUGAGUUUGUGUCGUGUUUGAACUUGCGUUCGUGUUGUUUGUUUAACUUGAGUUUGUGUGUUUUUUGAACUUGAGGCUGUGAAAAUUUUUAAACUUGAGUAUCAGGUGUUGGUUGAACUUGAGUUUGUGGUGUUUUUGAACUUUAGCAUGUGUUGUUUUUGAACUUGAGGUUGUUGAAAUUGUUAAACCUGAGAAUUGGGUAUUGUUUGAACUUGAGUUUUUGGUGUUUUUGAACUUGAGGUUGUGGAAAUUGUUAAACUUGAGAAUUGG